UAUUAGAGGCAUUGCCUGCCCAGUGACUAAAGUUAAACGGCCGCGGUAUCCUGACCGUGCAAAGGUAGCAUAAUCACUUGUUCCUUAAUUAGGGACUAGAAUGAAUGGCUAAACGAGGGUUCAACUGUCUCUUACUUUCAAUCAGUGAAAUUGACCUUCCAGUGAAGAGGCUGGAAUGCCACAAUAAGACGAGAAGACCCUAUGGAGCUUUAAUUUACUAGUUUAAUUUAUACAGAAAUAACCUAAUGGGCUAAAACAAAAUAAAUAUAAACUAAAAAUUUCGGUUGGGGUGACCUCGGAGAAUAAAAAAUCCUCCGAAUGAUUUUAACCUAGACCCACAAGUCAAAGUAAUACUAAUAUCUUAUUGACCCAAUCAUUGAUCAACGGACCAAGUUACCCUAGGGAUAACAGCGCAAUCCUAUUUAAGAGUUCAUAUCGACAAUUAGGGUUUACGACCUCGAUGUUGGAUCAGGACAUCCCAAUGGUGCAGAAGCUAUUAAUGGUUCGUUUGUUCAACGAUUAAAGUCCUACGUGAUCUGAGU
This 542-nucleotide ribosomal RNA is filed under the name Rattus rattus kandianus. Its description in RNAcentral is "partial 16S ribosomal RNA". It matches the Rfam family "Bacterial large subunit ribosomal RNA", at positions 1844 to 2610 of the family's 2925-position model. The record is from RNAcentral. Lineage: Eukaryota; Metazoa; Chordata; Mammalia; Rodentia; Muridae.